Onthophagus taurus is the source of this 979-nucleotide non-coding RNA. The record is from RefSeq and is a predicted model, not a curated record. Lineage: Eukaryota; Metazoa; Arthropoda; Insecta; Coleoptera; Scarabaeidae.
UCUUAUCAAUAUAUAACUAUAUUUUGGUUUCAAUAAUCUCUAUUUAUCCUGCAGUUAGAAACCAAGUUCUGACGUCGUUCAAGGACACUCGACAAAUAGUUUUGCUGCUAACAGCAGGAUAUCGCCUCAACUGUUGUUGCACUUUGGAUGCUUGCGUUGAUACGCAAUUACAUUUACAGUUUCAAUAACAAUAACAUUUGCGUACAGCUAUUCAUUUUAUCAAAAUCUUAAAUUUCUUUAUCUAUUUAUACCAGAUUUUUUAAUUCUUUUUAUAUUUAAUAUAUUGCAAGAAAACAUAGUCAUUAGAUAAAAAUAAAUUCUGAAUACACGAGCAAAUGUCGACGUUGUGGUUUAACUAUUGUGCCAAAGAGGCAAAUGAACUUUGAGCGCAUUGUGUUUUAUGGAGCUCAGUUUAGAGAAGAUAACAAUGUCUAUAAAUUUACAAUGACUCUUUUCUAGCAAGCAAAAAACUUAAUCGUUUGAAUGAUAACGCGGUAAGUUUGUGACGAAAAUAAAUAAGUAAACUAUAGCUAAAAUUGUGAAAUUAACAACAAAUUUCCCUUAUCUGAAAACGCACUGCUUUGUUUGGUUAUUUUUGUUCGUUAAUCUUCAAUAAUUCGUUAAAAAAAAAUUGGAGACAAAGCAUUGAUUUUGUAAUUCUUAAAUUUAGACUCAUUCGUCCGUAUAGUUCGAUAAUUUAAUAGAAAGUAUUGAAAUCGACCGUAAAAUCAUUCAAAUUUAGCGACAGAUUAAACUUAUGCAUGCAAACUUUACACUUUUCAUGACAUACUAACUCAAUAGGUUAUCUUAGAUUUUAAAUAAAUAAUAUAAAGUGUAAAUAUUUUCGUAAACAUCUUUUUUAGCAUUAAAAACAGUCCGAAAGGAGAUAAUAACUGCAAAAAAACAAAUUAUAAACAAAUCAGAAAGUAAUUUCCUCAAUUUGACAGUGACAAAUAAAUUUCAAGGUUAUGUUCCACAA